This is an RNA transcript of Cynoglossus semilaevis (tongue sole), 1753 nucleotides long. It is a transcript of the gene named small ubiquitin like modifier 3a, with no coding region annotated. The record is from RefSeq and is a predicted model, not a curated record. The transcript is spliced from 5 exons. Lineage: Eukaryota; Metazoa; Chordata; Actinopteri; Pleuronectiformes; Cynoglossidae.
CCAAUUACGUAGUUGCGACAGCGGUUCAAGGCGCGCUCCCGAAAGCAGCGGAUAAGACAGGAGAGAAGGCGGCUGAGAGACAAAUAAAACCCAAUUAACUGAUUCUUGCGGAAAAACAGGGCAAGGAAUAAAGACAGGAUGUCAGAGGAAAAACCAAAGGAAGGAGUAAAGACAGAGAAUGACCACAUCAACCUGAAGGUCGCAGGGCAAGAUGGGUCAGUGGUGCAGUUCAAAAUCAAAAGACACACACCUCUUAACAAACUAAUGAAGGCGUACUGUGAAAGACAGGGUCUCUCGAUAAGGCAGAUCAGGUUCAGGUUUGAUGGGCAGCCUAUCAAUGAGUCGGAUACACCCGCACAGCUGGAAAUGGAGGACGAGGACACCAUAGACGUUUUUCAGCAGCAGACAGGCGGCCACUGCUAAGCCAUCUCAUUGACAGCCGCCCUUAGACCACGCCCUUUCCCAGCCUCCUCCCAUCUGUCAUUGCUCCUCUCACAUUAUUAUUAAUAUUAUUAUUAUUAUUGUUAUUUCCAGAUGUCUUUUUUUUCUGUCGUGUGUGUGGGAGGGGCUCCUCAGCUCUUUAUGUACAGUCUCCACCAGGACCUUUGUGUGUCAGCUAGUGUUUUUGCUGGUAAUCUGGGAAUUGUAUUUUUCCUACUGAAAUUACAGCCUGUGAUUGGACCUGCCGCUUUGCCUGACGCUUCAGUGCUUCUUGUCAAGUCUCCAACAAAAGCAAGGUGCAGUAGCCUGUGACAGUUGAUUUUAAUCAAGCGAGGAGACACUCCCCCAACACGAGAACCCAAACUCACUUUCCCAAUUUCUACUUUGCUUUGCUGUCCUAAUGUCGACACCCAUUCCAACCCUCUGUCAUAAAUGUGUUUUAAUUCUCCACCAUUCUGUUGCUUUUGCCUAUGGGUUCUGCAAGUUUUGAGGGGUGGGGGCUUCUUUUUAAGAUUUAAGCAGGGAGAAUAUUUGUUAUUUUUGUCUCCUGUACAGAAGUAUCAGAAUGGAUGUUAGAUAAAUGUCGUGGGACUUGGACCAAUACUUCGAGGACUGAUCUUCCUUCUGUUAAUCACCGGCUUUAUUUGGAUCACUGACAACAACGAGCUGCGAGAUUAAAACAGUCAGGUCUCGAGGGGCUUCUAUUUCAACCUGUCUUUGAGACUGAUAUGGAAAGAUUGUACAGACCAAUAUCCAGUCGUCCAGAUACGUGACUUUGGUGGGUUAGCUGCCUCGCCUCUGUUGUUUUAAAUGAAGGUUGACAGGAAAACUGUUUAAGGGUAAGACCUUCUGUAAUGAUCAGAGAUGUCAGAAAAUGUUAGUAUAUCUGAGGUAUGUUUUUCUUUUCUAUCCCACUACGGUUGAUGCUUUGUCAGAACUCCUUGUCAACUAUCAACAUCUGCAUUUUGUGCUCUCCACAAGACAAAAGUUGCAGGUUGUAUUGUUCAAACAAAGUGGAUCCUGUCUCAAUAGUGUGGUUAGCAGGAUGAAUGUCGUAUGUUGCAUAUCGAGAGAUCCUGUCGAUCAGCUGAUGCAGUUUGGGAGAUGAGUUGUCCUGAACCCACAGGGCCCAGUUCUUUGUACAUGAUUCAGUUAAGGUAAUGAGCUGAAACCAAGUAGAGAACAAACUUUUCAGGGUGUUGGGUCAUCAUGAUGUUCUCUUAUUUCCAGAAAAGACAAACCAAACACUUGGACCGGAGUGUCCUUCAUUAUACUCUUUAAACUGAAUGUUAAAUUUGCUAAAAACACUAAA